Molecule: non-coding RNA, 21 nt
Organism: Caenorhabditis elegans
Lineage: Eukaryota; Metazoa; Nematoda; Chromadorea; Rhabditida; Rhabditidae
Source: Ensembl
UAGUGCUUUGAUCAAUUCCCG